AUAUAAGAUAUUCAUUUUCUUGACAAUGUUAAGGUUGGUGGACAUAGAACCAAAUCGUCAGCAUCAUAACAAAAUCAUCAUAAAUACUUAUAAUAGUUGUGAAAUAAUUGUUCAGCAUACUGAAGAAAGCUUUGGCAAAUCAUUUAUUUCGUGUAAUAUCAACAACGGUAUCUUACUAUAACUUAAAGGCUUUUUGCUAAUGCAUUUUGUAUUGUUUCGCUGAAGUGGCUUUCACUCGGUUUAGCUCGCAUUUUCGUCCGCCUGUCAAACAAGUCGUAACAACAGCAAUAAGGCAAAGAAUACAUAAUGGCCAAUCCAAAGUGUUCUUAUUAUCCCGUCUUAAAGUGGUGUGAUUUAAGACCGCAACUUGGCAAACAAAAACCAAAAAAUAAAAUGGAACAUGUAAAGAGGA
This is a long non-coding RNA of Drosophila simulans, 412 nucleotides long. RefSeq lists it as uncharacterized. The record is from RefSeq and is a predicted model, not a curated record. The transcript has 2 exons. NCBI's taxonomy places the organism in Eukaryota, Metazoa, Arthropoda, Insecta, Diptera, Drosophilidae.